Molecule: long non-coding RNA, 145 nt
Organism: Bradysia coprophila
Lineage: Eukaryota; Metazoa; Arthropoda; Insecta; Diptera; Sciaridae
Source: RefSeq, a predicted model, not a curated record
UUGAAAAAUUGAAAAUUCACUGAGUUAUCCUGGGUUCCCUGAAAAGUUUACCGGAAAAACCACUAACUUUGAACUCAAUUUCCCUGGCCAGUUCUAAAUAAAAGGGAACGCGUUAGGGGACGCGUUGGAAAGCUGGUGACUAGCA